AGAGAGAGACAUGCGCGCAUAUCAAUAAGCGGAGGAAAAGAAACUAACUAGGAUUCCCUUAGUAACGGCGAGUGAAGCGGGAAGAGCUCAAAUUUGAAAUCUUCAGGGUUCUACCUUGACGAAUUGUAGUUUAUAGAAGUGUUUUCUGUUAGUGGAGUGGCAAAAGUUCCUUGGAAUAGGACAUCAUAGAGGGUGAGAAUCCCGUAUUUGGUCAUUCCUCCUAGCGUUGUGAUACACUUUCAACGAGUCGGAUUGUUUGGGAAUGCAGUCCAAAAUGGGUGGUAAAUUUCAUCUAAAGCUAAAUAUUGGCGAGAGACCGAUAGCGAACAAGUACCGUGAGGGAAAGAUGAAAAGAACUUUGAAAAGAGAGUUAAACAGUACGUGAAAUUGUCAAAAGGGAAGCGUUUGACACCAGUGUUGUUUUUCCGAAAAUCAAUUACGAAUGUUUUAGUUUUUGAGGAGUUAUGACUUCAUCGGCUUGCUCCUUUCUUUAUGAAACUUUCUUAAUGCACUUUUCGGUUAACAAGUCAACAUCAAUUUCUUUUGUUGUAAAAGGGUAUGAGGAAGGUGGCUUUCUUUUCGGAGAAAGUGUUUAUAGCCUUGUGCCUCUGCAAUCGGAGAGAUUGAGGUCUGCAGCGUAGAUCCUUCGGGGUUAGAUACGUUUGUGCUAAGUUAUAGCUUUUCAUAGACAACUUGUUGACUAUGUUUAGUCUUGUAGCUUACUCGCUUACUGCUAUUUUACCUACGCUUAGGAUGUUGAUAGUCACAGCGUGUAC
This 776-nucleotide ribosomal RNA is filed under the name uncultured Neocallimastigales. RNAcentral describes it as "partial large subunit ribosomal RNA". It matches the Rfam family "Eukaryotic large subunit ribosomal RNA", at positions 23 to 644 of the family's 3401-position model. Lineage: Eukaryota; Fungi; Neocallimastigomycota; Neocallimastigomycetes; Neocallimastigales. The record is from RNAcentral.